UGCCCUGACAAUGGGCAGAGUUAACACUUUAUUGAUGGUGUUAUAUUAGUCAGGGGCAGACUAGAUGAAAGCCCUUUGUUCAUCCUAGCUUGAUGCCUGAUAGGUGGCCAAAGCUGUUUCAUGCCUUGUUCACAAUC
This is a small nucleolar RNA of Jaculus jaculus (lesser Egyptian jerboa), 137 nucleotides long. RefSeq annotates it as small nucleolar RNA SNORA48. The record is from RefSeq and is a predicted model, not a curated record. NCBI's taxonomy places the organism in Eukaryota, Metazoa, Chordata, Mammalia, Rodentia, Dipodidae. The transcript has a single exon.